CUUGGAAAGGGUAAGCCAAACACCUCUCGUGCCCGAUUCAACCUGGCGAGGUAGUUCGAAACUUCGAAUCUGGUUUCAAACCCUAAACGCCAAAUGCAAACCAAUUUGUUUAAGCCACCUUCAUCUUCCCCAUGCUCGCCGCUGAGUCUUGCGCAACCCUUUUACGAAGGUGAAAGCUCCAACUUCGACAGCCAGAGUCUCCUCAACUUCAGGCCUCGAAACCCUAGAAUCGGAGUCCAGCCGUUUGCCAUACAGUGAGGAUUUUGUUUUUUUCGGCACCUUUAAUACUGAUUCAAUCCUGCACAAUCAUAUCUUGCUUUACGCCGAAAUUCUUUGUGAUAAGGUUAGAAAGAAGUAUUAACCAUGAGUGAUUUCGAUUGCAAAAAAAUGAGAAAUAUAUGCAUUCUUGCCCAUGUUGAUCAUGGAAAGACUACGCUUGCUGACCAUUUGAUUGCCUCGUAUGGGGACGGAGUACUCCACCCAAAGCUAGCGGGUAAGGUUAGAUAUAUGGAUUAUCUUGAUGAAGAACAGAGGCGAGCUAUAACAAUGAAGAGCUCUUCCAUAUCCCUGCAAUACAAUGAUCAUUUUAUAAACCUCAUAGACUCUCCAGGUCAUAUGGACUUUUGUUGUGAGGUCUCUAGUGCUGCCCGGUUGAGUGAUGGGGCUUUGGUGUUGGUUGAUGCUGUUGAGGGUGUUCACAUUCAGACACAUGCAGUGUUGCGCCAAGCUUGGAUCGAAAAGCUUACCCCUGUUUUGGUGCUAAAUAAGAUUGAUAGGUUGAUAUGUGAAUUGAAGUUGAGUCCCAUGGAGGCAUAUACUCGGUUGCAAAGGAUUGUUCAUGAGGUUAAUGGAAUUAUGAGUGCCUACAAGUCUGAGAAAUAUCUUUCAGAUGUUGAUUCGAUACUUGCAGGACCAUCCAGUGAGGUAGGUGAUGGUAACCAAGAGUUCAUUGAGGAUGAUGAGGAAGAUACAUUUCAACCACAAAGGGGGAAUGUCGCUUUUGUGUGUGCAUUGGAUGGGUGGGGUUUUAGCAUUAUUGAGUUUGCAGAGUUCUAUGCAUCAAAACUAGGGGCUAGCACAACUGCAUUGCUGAAAAGUUUAUGGGGCCCUUGGUAUUUCAAUUCCAAGACUAAGAUGAUUGUGGGAAAGAAGGGAAUAAGUGGGGGAAGUAAAGCUCGCCCUUUGUUUGUCCAAUUUGUUCUUGAGCCACUCUGGCAGGUUUACCAGGCAGCUUUGGAGCCUGAUGGGGACAAAGGGGUACUUGAUAAAGUCAUUACAUCAUUCAAUUUGUCUAUACCUCCCCGUGAACUUCAGAACAGGGAUCCAAAAGCUGUGCUUCAAGCUGUCAUGAGUCGUUGGCUGCCUUUAUCGGAUGCAAUCUUAUCCAUGGUAGUUGAAUAUAUGCCAGAUCCAAUAGCUGCCCAAUCUUUACGGAUUGCACGAUUGCUUCCACAGAGAGAAAUUAUAAAUGAUGGCAUUCCUCCUAAUGUGCUUGCGGAGGCAGAGCUAGUAAGAAGAUCUGUUGAGGCUUGUGACUCACGUCCUGAUGCACCAUGUGUCGCUUUUGUGUCGAAGAUGUUUGCUGUUCCUGCAAAAAUGCUACCUCGAAAAGGCUUGAAUGGUGAGGUUUUAAACAAUUCUACUGAUGAAGGCAGGAAUAGUGAAUCUGAUGAGUGCUUCCUUGCAUUUGCACGGAUUUUUAGUGGGGUUAUUCAUUCAGGGCAGAGGAUUUUUGUACUUUCAUCUUUAUAUGAUCCGCUAAAAGGGGCAUCUGUGCAAAAGCAUGUUCAGGAAGCUGAGUUGCACUCCGUGUAUCUAAUGAUGGGUCAAGGCUUGAAACUAGUGGCAUCUGCAAAGGCUGGGAAUGUAGUGGCUAUUAGAGGUCUUGGCCAGCAUAUAUUGAAAAGUGCGACCCUUUCAUCUACAAAGAACUGUUGGCCUUUCUCAAGUAUGGUGUUCCAGGUUUCACCCACUCUUAAAGUUGCUAUUGAACCUUCAGACCCAGCUGACAUGGGUGCAUUCAUGAAAGGUUUGAAGCUCUUGAACCGUGCAGACCCAUUUGUAGAGGUCACUGUGUCAUCUAGAGGAGAGCAUGUUCUUGCUGCUGCUGGGGAGGUUCAUCUUGAGAGAUGUGUUAAAGAUUUGAAGGAUAGAUUUGCAAAAAUUAGCUUGGAAGUCUCACCGCCACUGGUCUCCUACAAAGAAACUAUUGAGGGUGAGUCAUCCAAUCCAUUAGAGAACUUGAAGUUGCCAACUGGAAGCUCUGAUUAUGUUGAGAAGGUGACCCCAAAUGGUAGAUGUGUCGUUCGUGUGCAUGUCUUGAAGCUUCCACCUGCAUUGACUAAGGUGCUUGAUGAGAGUUCUGACCUGCUUACAAGUAUUAUUGGAGGAAAAUUGGGCCAUUCAGACAAAAACUUUGGAACUCAGCUGACCAGUAUUGUAGCAGAUGAGAAUCCAAUUGAAACACUUAAGAAAAGAGUCAUGGAUGCUAUAGAGAGUGAUAUUCCUUCUGAGAGUGCAGAGAUUGACAAGGAUAGGGUAGAGAUUCGUAAACAAUUGUGGGAGAGGGUUCUUAAGAAAAUGUGGGCAUUGGGUCCUCACCGGGUAGGUCCUAACAUCCUCUUGACACCUGAUUCCAAAGUAAAAGCAACUGAUGGUUCUGUUCUCGUCCGGGGUUCCCCUUGCGUGUCUGAGAAGCUGGGAUUUUUGAUCAAAUCUAAUAAUGGCAUUAUAGCUUCUGAGGCAUCAUCUGCAGAAACUCAAGCACUGUACCAAGAAGAAGAGAGUCUUGAGAGCAGUGUUGUAUCUGGAUUCCAACUAGCUACAGAAGCUGGUCCAUUGUGUGAUGAACCUAUGUGGGGUCUGGCAUUUGUUGUGGAGGUUUACAUUUCUCCAUUGAUUGUGCAGUUAAAUGAAUCUGAAAGUUCUCAUCAACCAGAACAAUAUGGUAUAUUCAGUGGGCAGGUUGUGACAGCUGUCAAGGAUGCUUGUAGGGCAGCUGUUCUUAAGAGGAAACCUCGGCUUGUGGAAGCCAUGUACUUCUGUGAGUUGAACACCGCAACUGAAUAUUUGGGCCCCAUGUAUGCAGUGCUUGCUCGGAGGCGGGCUAGAGUUUUGAAGGAGGAAAUGCAGGAAGGAUCUCCAUUGUUUACUGUGCAUGCCUAUGUGCCAGUUGCUGAGAGCUUUGGCUUUGUGGAUGAGCUGAGAAGAUGGACGUCAGGGGCUGCAAGUGCUCUACUUGUCCUGAGUCAUUGGGAAGUGCUUUCUGAGGAUCCUUUCUUUGUUCCAAAGACAGAGGAAGAGAUUGAAGAGUUUGGAGAUGGUUCUAGUGUCCCACGUAAUACAGCAAGGAAGCUCAUUGAUGCUGUGAGGCGGCGAAAGGGUCUCCCAGUUGAAGAAAAGAUCCUGAAGAGAAAUAUAGAGCUUCACUCAUCUUCUGACACUACAGGAUUAAUUGCAGAUAAGCUAAAAUGGGGAAAUUCCCAAGACCUCAACCAAAUUUUAGAAAGACAUCUGGGGAAUUUGAUCUGGUUCUCGGCACUGAUAUUUGUAUCCUAAUUGCCGCUUUUCCUUCAUUCAGGUUUUCAAGUAAUAUACAAAAAAAGGCUAUUUACGUACAUAAAUACACACAUGCAUACACUAGCACCAAUACACGCACAUGGAUGGUAUCAGUCCUGUAGCUUUGGGUGUUGAUAUUGAAUGCACAGGAACCUGUUAUGCAGAGCAAAACCUCUGCUCUAAAUAUGUUUUAGACAGCUUUCUCCAAACAUGGUUAAAUUUCACAAUGCAUAGAAUGUCAUUAAAUUACAUGAACUCGUGUUCUUUCCCUAUUCAUAGUAUCUAUGUUGGUUGCAUUAUGGCUUGAUUAAUAUUUUAAACUUAGAACAACAAAAUAAUCCCCAGAAUUGUUUUUUAUCCGUUCUGCUCUUAUUGCAACUGUUGCUGCCGUUCUAGUAAUUUUUAAUGUUUGUGUAUUUGUUCAUGUGGGGUUGGCAUACAUGCUUGUCACGUAUGGAAAUCUUAAACAUUGACCUGAAUUUGAAGUUUUUUUCAUCAAAAGCUAGCCUGACUAAUACAAGACAAUAUAGUUGUUCUAAGUGCCAUUACCCAAUCCAAAUGUGAGGUGCUAGCAGCAGAUGUAUGCUGGUAUGUACUAUUUUUGCCAAGUCUCUGCGUGUGUUCUUUGUUUGAAGCAUUGAACCAAGAAAAUUGAGAAAGAAAGCCUUGAAAAGAUUCAAGCUUUCAACGGCCUGGCAUUCCUUUGCUUUCUGAUACCACGCAACAGCUCCUCUGCCUCUCUGGAUGAAGGGCAUUGCAAUUCCUCCUGGCUUCUUUAACCCAAGCCAAAGUGUAAAUUAUUCAUGAGAGUGUCCUUUACCUAUACCAAUGUUACCAUGUUUUACGGAAUCCUUGCAUAGGAGAUGGUAAAAUAGCAAAAGUGCCUGGGAAUGUUCAUGUGGAAAGAAAAACUGUUAAUAUUCUUGUCUGGAAAGUUAGCAGAUUCUCGUUUGUAAUCAUAUCUAGUUCAUUAUUUUUUCCUUUACAAAAAUGAUUCUAUCGAAUACAAUUAUGAUAUUCUUAUCUGGAAAGUUGCUGAAUUUUGUUAUAUGGCUUUAGUUGAAAUGAAGUCAACUGUCAUUUGAAUGCACGGUCAGCCUUUUGUUCUUACCCGUUACACAUCAGCAUAUAUAGUUGUCAAAGGUGUGCUCAAGGCACGCUUAGGCUCAAGGGUCAGCUGAGGGGACCUCGCUCUUUGAGGUGUGCCCCUAGGGUGCUAAGGCACACCUCACCUUGAGAGAGAACAAUAAGUUCAGAAAGUUUGCAUUUAUACUGUUGCUUAUUUGGGAAAACAAUAAAACACCCCAUUAUUUAGCUAAAUACUGUUGCUUAUAUUUUAUUUAUGAUUUUACAACUUUGCAUUUAACUCUUUAUAGGUAUAUAUUGAAGAUACUCUGGUGUAUAGGUAUUUUUAUACAGAUUUCUUAAAUGUGCACGUUACGUCUAAAAAGUCUCACACCUUUCCCUCGCACCUCGCACCUAGGCUCCAAGCACUCUGGUGCCUCAGUGCAUCUUGAGCCUUUGAAAAUGAUCCACGUCAGAGUUUGUCCUUUUUGUUUUUUGUUUAUAUUCUUACCCAAAUUUUGUCCUUUGCCAAAUGUUCGUCUCCAUUUUUAAGCCAUGUAUUUACUAUAAUUUGGAGAAGUUCCAUUCAAUGUAGUUCCAGAAACAAAAUUGUUGCAAUAUUUUUGCAAAUUUCACAAAAAUAUUAUCUGGUCACUCUACUUGUAAUCUUUAGAUCUGUGUCUCAGUUCUUGUGUAUUGACUAAGAUCCCCUUUUCCCUAGCAUUCUAGGAAAUUUGAUUUUGUAAAGUUUUCUUUUGUUUUCCUUUUUAGGCCUUGAUACUGCAGGAAUUUCAAUUAGAGAGGAGUGAUGGCUGCAGGACUGCCGUCACAGCACAUGUUGGAACCCUCCACAGUUGCUGGUAUCCUUCACUGGUGAAUACAGCUAAUAUUUCCAUUUGGUACAAGUAAAGCAAAAGAUGAGGAGAAUUCUAGCGGGGCAUGAUCUAUUAGGUCAGAUGUGUACAGAGCUCACUCGAACAAAAGGUCU
Molecule: RNA transcript, 5611 nt
Organism: Diospyros lotus (date-plum)
Lineage: Eukaryota; Viridiplantae; Streptophyta; Magnoliopsida; Ericales; Ebenaceae
Exons: 4
Source: RefSeq, a predicted model, not a curated record